Molecule: ribosomal RNA, 740 nt
Filed under: Pezicula sporulosa
Lineage: Eukaryota; Fungi; Ascomycota; Leotiomycetes; Helotiales; Dermateaceae
Description: eukaryotic LSU rRNA
Rfam family: Eukaryotic large subunit ribosomal RNA
Source: RNAcentral
UUGGGUGCGGCCCCGGUCUAAGUUCCUUGGAACAGGACGUCAUAGAGGGUGAGAAUCCCGUAUGUGAUCGGUGGCUUGCGCCCGUGUAAAGCUCUUUCGACGAGUCGGGUUGUUUGGGAAUGCAGCUCUAAAUGGGUGGUAAAUUUCAUCUAAAGCUAAAUAUUGGCCAGAGACCGAUAGCGCACAAGUAGAGUGAUCGAAAGAUGAAAAGGACUUUGGAAAGAGAGUUAAACAGUACGUGAAAUUGUUGAAAGGGAAGCGCUUGCAACCAGACUUGCGCGGGGUUGAUCAUCCGGGGUUCUCCCCGGUGCACUCGGCCUCGCUCAGGCCAGCAUCGGUUUCGGUGGUUGGAUAAAGGCCUUGGGAAUGUGACUUCUUUCGGGGAGUGUUAUAGCCCUCGGUGCAAUGCAGCCUACCGGGACCGAGGACCGCGCUUCGGCUAGGAUGCUGGCGUAAUGGUUGUAAGCGACCCGUCUUGAAACACGGACCAAGGAGUCUAACAUCUAUGCGAGUGUUUGGGUGUCAAACCCAUACGCGUAAUGAAAGUGAACGGAGGUGAGAACCCUUAAGGGUGCAUCAUCGACCGAUCCUGAUGUCUUCGGAUGGAUUUGAGUAAGAGCAUAGCUGUUGGGACCCGAAAGAUGGUGAACUAUGCCUGAAUAGGGUGAAGCCAGAGGAAACUCUGGUGGAGGCUCGCAGCGGUUCUGACGUGCAAAUCGAUCGUCAAAUUUGGGCAUAGG